Molecule: ribosomal RNA, 468 nt
Filed under: uncultured bacterium
Lineage: Bacteria
Description: partial 16S ribosomal RNA
Rfam family: Bacterial small subunit ribosomal RNA
Source: RNAcentral
GACGAACGCUGGCGGCGUGCUUAACACAUGCAAGUCGAACGGAAAGGCCCUGCUUUUGUGGGGUGCUCGAGUGGCGAACGGGUGAGUAACACGUGAGUAACCUGCCCUUGACUUUGGGAUAACUUCAGGAAACUGGGGCUAAUACCGGAUAGGAGCUCCUGCUGCAUGGUGGGGGUUGGAAAGUUUCGGCGGUUGGGGAUGGACUCGCGGCUUAUCAGCUUGUUGGUGGGGUAGUGGCUUACCAAGGCUUUGACGGGUAGCCGGCCUGAGAGGGUGGCCGGCCACAUUGGGACUGAGAUACGGACCAGACUCCUACGGGAGGCAGCAGUGGGGAAUAUUGCACAAUGGGCGGAAGCCUGAUGCAGCAACGCCGCGUGCGGGAUGACGGCCUUCGGGUUGUAAACCGCUUUCGCCUGUGACGAAGCGUGAGUGACGGUAAUGGGUAAAGAAGCACCGGCUAACUACGUG